This 267-nucleotide long non-coding RNA is filed under the name Nicotiana benthamiana. RNAcentral's name for it is "long non-coding RNA (NBEN_LNC016830)". Lineage: Eukaryota; Viridiplantae; Streptophyta; Magnoliopsida; Solanales; Solanaceae. The record is from RNAcentral.
GAUUCAGAAAGUGAUAAGGCAGUAAGAAUCGAAAUGAAUUAUUUAAAGUGUUAUGUGCAUACUUGCUAAACUUUGUUAUUUGAGGGACUUAGAUUAUUAAAAGACGGGCAGAAUCUAAACAAAUUGAUUACAAGUUCGGCGACUGAUAGUAUAAACAGUGAGUGGAGCGAAUCAUAUUCAUUUAGAAACUCCUAUUGGCAUGCUUUCUAUACAUUGAUGAUUUUAAAACCUUAUAGACGUGUGUCGAAAUACAAAAGAACCUUAUGG